AUCUUGAACUAACUAUGCGGUUUCGUUGGGGAACAGCCAACGGAUGUAAAGGGGAAAGCACGGUGCAAAUCCGUCACUGUCCCGCAACUGUAAUGAGGUCUUGUGCCUCUAAGUCAGGAUGCCCACCGCCGGUAAAUAAGCUAA
RNAcentral lists this non-coding RNA (144 nucleotides) under Gloeomargarita lithophora. Lineage: Bacteria; Bacillati; Cyanobacteriota; Cyanophyceae; Gloeomargaritales; Gloeomargaritaceae. The record is from RNAcentral. RNAcentral also lists the same sequence under 1 other name.